Molecule: ribosomal RNA, 253 nt
Filed under: uncultured bacterium
Lineage: Bacteria
Description: partial 16S ribosomal RNA
Rfam family: Bacterial small subunit ribosomal RNA
Source: RNAcentral
UACGAAGGGGACUAGCGUUGUUCGGAAUCACUGGGCGUAAAGCGCACGUAGGCGGAUAUGUCAGUCAGGGGUGAAAUCCCGGGGCUCAACCUCGGAACUGCCUUUGAUACAGCAUAUCUUGAGUCCGAUAGAGGUGGGUGGAAUUCCUAGUGUAGAGGUGAAAUUCGUAGAUAUUAGGAAGAACACCGGUGGCGAAGGCGGCCCACUGGACCGUAACUGACGCUGAGGCGCGAAAGCGUGGGGAGCAAACAGG